Meleagris gallopavo (turkey) is the source of this 186-nucleotide non-coding RNA. The record is from RefSeq and is a predicted model, not a curated record. Lineage: Eukaryota; Metazoa; Chordata; Aves; Galliformes; Phasianidae.
UGCGGCCAAUGGCGAGCCUCCACGAAGGAGUAACGAAGGGUAUAUAAGGGCGUGCGGCGCGGCCUAGGUGUUCAGCGGCAUUUGGAGACGCGGCGGUUUGUGGGUGACGGGCGGCGAGCGGGCGGCAUGAGGUACCUCCUGUUGGCGCUGCUGCUGCUGGGCGGCGCGCGGGCGGACGACGAGGAG